This 1310-nucleotide long non-coding RNA is filed under the name Equus caballus (horse). RNAcentral's name for it is "lncRNA (ENSECAG00000049861.1)". Lineage: Eukaryota; Metazoa; Chordata; Mammalia; Perissodactyla; Equidae. The record is from RNAcentral.
CCUCAAUAUGGUAAGAUUCUAUUCUAUUAUUCCAUAUUAAGAUUCUUCUAUUCCAUGAAGAAUUUCUGUCUAUGGUGUCUACAGUCUAUGUUGUGGAAUAUUUUUGAUCAAUUCUUUUUACUGAAAAUAAUUUAUAUCCUUUGCUUUUUACUUACCAAUAUAUUUCAUUAUAUUCUCAUGAUUUGUCUUAUAGAAACCAUUUAAAAUUUCCGAAAUGGCUAAGCUUGCAAAAGCUCUUUGUCAUAGGUACCACCGAUCUGCCCAGUGUGAAGGUACUAACUGAUCUAAAUGAUCAGGCUUUCUAGCAGAACCAUUUCAUCCUUCAGACUUCAAUUUAAAUAGCAUCACCUCAGAGGUUUAAAAAAUUAUUUCAAACGCUGGAAUUUGUCACCUAUCAACCCACUCUGUGCUCAAUAUUGUGUGGGGGGCAAAUACACAGAAGAUCCAGUGGGUGGCUGCUCCAGGAAAUGUAUGACUAAUGGGAAUCAACAAUUUAGAAGUAUCUUCUAUAAGAACUAAUUUUCCCUUCUGUUUUCUAAAAGGUCUAAAAAAGGGGUGAAUAUUAAAUAAAUUGAAAAUGGGAAACGUGACCCACCAAAGGAAAGCAGGAAGGAAGGAGAACGAUGUGAACGGUGGUCUCUAACGGGAUGGCGCAGAGUGUACUAACUGAUGCUCCAUGGCAACAGUAUCUCCCCAUCUGUAGUUUGCAAAGGAGGGGAAAAGGUCAGGGUUUAUGGAAUAUUCAGGUGGCCACUAGGGGAUGCCAGAAUGCCGACAGCUUUCAGCAUGACUCGUUUCCCUUGGGGAAUCUGGGUUUGAGAUUGAAUAUAGUUCAAGUGCACCAGAAAUAACUUCUCCUUUUCCAGUAAAAUUGUGAGAAUGUGACUUAGGUCACACAGUUAAUAGGAGACCAGGGAUUAGAAAUCAAGCGUUUAUGAGUCCCAGACCAUUACUGAGUUCCAGGUCAUACUGCUAUCCAAGAAAACAAAAUCUUCUAUCCCUGCGGCAGGACACUGCAAACUAGACAGAAACUACAAAAGUAAAAUGACAAUGACAACAACAACAAAACCAACGAACCAAACAGAAAUGCCGGAAGUUGGAAAUACACUUUAGAAUUUAAAAAAAAAAAAAAUUAAGUAGUAUGAUCCUGCUUUUUUUGUCUUAGAAAUGUAAAAAAUAUGUCUAUACAGGGAGAAAAACUUAGAAAUACAUGUGCCAAAAUCUUAAUAAGGGAAUUUGGAGGUGGUGGGAUAUUGGUCUUACUGUUUUCUGGGGUUUUUUCCCUCUGCUUUAUUCAUUUUCUAUAGUUU